This 321-nucleotide transfer-messenger RNA is filed under the name Rhodospirillaceae bacterium. It matches the Rfam family "Alphaproteobacteria transfer-messenger RNA". Rfam says of the family: Bacterial tmRNA, also known as 10Sa RNA or SsrA, is named for its dual tRNA and mRNA-like properties. Its role is to liberate the mRNA from a stalled ribosome. The record is from RNAcentral. Lineage: Bacteria; Pseudomonadati; Pseudomonadota; Alphaproteobacteria; Rhodospirillales; Rhodospirillaceae. RNAcentral also lists the same sequence under 1 other name.
GCACUUUCCUUACGCCGUCGAGAAGACUAUAAUCAAAGGGCUGGGCAACCAGCUAUGGCGAUAAACGUUUUGUGGAAUAAGCGUAACGGACCCGGGGGCAGUGCCCGGCGCCUCCACCAUAAAGUAUUUGCCGAUUCAACGGUUUAUGGGGGCGAAACAGGAUCGACGUGCGUGGUAAAGGCAUGACUUUCGUUCGGCAUGGUACCACCGAUAUCGGGCCGAUUUUACAAAUGCUAACGAUAAUGAAGCAUUUGCGGUAGCCGCUUAAUAACCGGUCUGCCACGGGGUUCGGAGGGCACCUGGCAACAGAAGCCCUCCACU